RNAcentral lists this long non-coding RNA (790 nucleotides) under Dermacentor andersoni. Its description in RNAcentral is "uncharacterized LOC126537017". The record is from RNAcentral. Lineage: Eukaryota; Metazoa; Arthropoda; Arachnida; Ixodida; Ixodidae.
UUCUACAAUCCCUUGCCGAUGGCGUCCUGCUGGCAGACUUUCCUCCUCACCCUGCGCUACUACUGGUUCUGAACUCCUUUUUGUGAUGACGGUCCACAAGGAUACCUAGUGCCCUCCUGCACAUCGGCUCUCAGGUGUACGCUCCGGAGAAGAUUACUUCGAGGGCGAGCACGACCCAUUCCAUAAGUGACUGUAUCAACAUUUCUACAUGCUGUCGCCGAUGGCGUCCUGCUGGCACAAUUUCUUGCUCACUCUGCACUACUACAAGGAUGCCUAGCCCCUCCUGCACAUUGGCUCUCCUGUCUACGUUCCAGAAAUUACUUAGGGCGCGAGCACCACCCGUUCUAUAAGUCACUGCGACACGACUUCUCCAUCCUCUCGCUGAUGGUGUCCUGCUGGUAUAUUGGACUUAACCUGGCGCCCUUGCACUUAAUUCUGGUUGCCAGUGCGUUCGCUUUUAGGGCAAGAACACCAUUGUGUGGGGCAAGCGGAUCAAAUGUUCCCACAUGCUCAUUUACAAGAACCCUCCUAUCCUUACUUCAACAGUGACUAUAUUCUGCCCGAUCGUCCGGCCUCGGAGCCUUGCAGCACACUUCUACCGAUGAGUGAAGUGUCAGAAAACUCCGUCUUGGCGGUAUCCUGCACUAUGUCGGAGGGUUGUUAAUAUUCUGAAGGACUGCGUGUCAUCGCCAUCCCGCGACCGUCUAUCGGAUGUACUCCAUUUCGUCGCUGUUGUCUUUUUAAGCAGGCAUAUUUUAUGAGAUUAAUAUAACAACCUUUCCUGCUUUGA